CCUACGGGUGGCAGCAGUGAGGAAUAUUGGUCAAUGGCCGAGAGGCUGAACCAGCCAAGUCGCGUGAGGGAAGACGGCUCUACGGGUUGUAAACCUCUUUUGUCGGGGAGCAAAGCGAGUCACGUGUGACUCAUUGCGAGUACCCGAAGAAACAGCAUCGGCUAACUCCGUGCCAGCAGCCGCGGUAAUACGGAGGAUGCGAGCGUUAUCCGGGUUUAUUGGGUUUAAAGGGUGCGCAGGCGGAGGUGCAAGUCAGCGGUCAAAUCUCGGGGCUCAACCCCGUACUGCCGUUGAAACUGCAUCCCUUGAGUGCGCGAGAAGUAUGCGGAAUGCGUGGUGUAGCGGUGAAAUGCAUAGAUAUCACGCAGAACUCCGAUUGCGAAGGCAGCAUACCGGCGCCCUACUGACGCUGAGGCACGAAAGCGUGGGUAUCGAACAGGAUUAGAUACCCUAGUAGUC
Molecule: ribosomal RNA, 459 nt
Filed under: uncultured bacterium
Lineage: Bacteria
Description: partial 16S ribosomal RNA
Rfam family: Bacterial small subunit ribosomal RNA
Source: RNAcentral